GAUGAACGCUAGCUACAGGCUUAACACAUGCAAGUCGCGGGGCAGCAUGGGGGUUGCUUGCAACCCCUGAUGGCGACCGGCGCACGGGUGAGUAACGCGUAUCCAACCUGCCCUUCACCACGGGAUAACCCGGCGAAAGUCGGACUAAUACCGUAUGUUGUCCAUUGACGGCAUCCGAUUUGUACGAAAGGCUUGGCGGUGAAUGGAUGGGGAUGCGUCCGAUUAGCUUGACGGCUGGGUAACGGCCCACCGUGGCUACGGUCGGUAGGGGUUCUGAGAGGAAGGUCCCCCACACUGGAACUGCGACACGGUCCAGACUCCUACGGGAGGCAGCAGUGAGGAAUAUUGGUCAAUGGGUGUAAGCCUGAACCAGCCACGUAGCGGGCAGGAUGCCGGCCCUAUGGGUUGUCAACUGCUUUUAAGCGGGGAUAAAGUGGCACACGUGUGGGCUUUUGCAGGUACCGAAUGAAUAAGGACCGGCUAAUUCCGUG
This 491-nucleotide ribosomal RNA is filed under the name uncultured bacterium. RNAcentral describes it as "partial 16S ribosomal RNA". It matches the Rfam family "Bacterial small subunit ribosomal RNA", at positions 28 to 507 of the family's 1533-position model. The record is from RNAcentral.